RNAcentral lists this ribosomal RNA (468 nucleotides) under uncultured bacterium. RNAcentral describes it as "partial 16S ribosomal RNA". It matches the Rfam family "Bacterial small subunit ribosomal RNA", at positions 28 to 507 of the family's 1533-position model. The record is from RNAcentral.
GACGAACGCUGGCGGCGUGCUUAACACAUGCAAGUCGAACGGAAAGGCCUGUCUGUUGUGGGGUGCUCGAGUGGCGAUCGUGUGAGUAACACGUGUGUAACCUGCCCUGUACGUGGGGAUAUCUGUAGGAAACUGGGGCUAAUACCGGAUAGGAGCUGUGGUGGCAUGGUGGGGGUUGGAAAGUUUCGGCGGUUGUUUAUGGACUCGCGGCUUAUCAGCUUGUUGGUGGGGUAGUGGCUUACCAAGGCUUUGACGGGUAGCCGGCCUGAGAGGGUGACCGGCCACAUUGGGACUGAGAUACGACCCAGACUCCACAGGGAGGCAGCAGUGGGGAAUAUUGCACAAUGGGCGGAAGCCUGAUGCAGCACAGCCGCGUGCGGGAUGACGGCCUUCGGGUUGUAACAAAAAAUCGCCUGUGACGAAGCGUGAGUGACGGUAAUGGGUAAAGAAGCACCGGCUAACUACGUG